CUAUAGCUCAGCUGGUUAGAGUGCACCCCUGAUAAGGGUGAGGUCACAAGUUCAAGUCUUGUUAG
RNAcentral lists this transfer RNA (65 nucleotides) under Campylobacter jejuni. RNAcentral describes it as "tRNA-Ile". It matches the Rfam family "tRNA", at positions 5 to 66 of the family's 71-position model. From Rfam's summary of the family: Transfer RNA (tRNA) molecules are approximately 80 nucleotides in length. Their secondary structure includes four short double-helical elements and three loops (D, anti-codon, and T loops). Further hydrogen bonds mediate the characteristic L-shaped molecular structure. tRNAs have two regions of fundamental functional importance: the anti-codon, which is responsible for specific mRNA codon recognition, and the 3' end, to which the tRNAs corresponding amino acid is attached (by aminoacyl-tRNA synthetases). tRNAs cope with the degeneracy of the genetic code in two manners: having more than one tRNA (with a specific anti-codon) for a particular amino acid; and 'wobble' base-pairing, i.e. permitting non-standard base-pairing at the 3rd anti-codon position. The record is from RNAcentral. RNAcentral also lists the same sequence under 1 other name. Lineage: Bacteria; Pseudomonadati; Campylobacterota; Epsilonproteobacteria; Campylobacterales; Campylobacteraceae.